AUGAACGCUGGCGGCGUGCCUAAUACAUGCAAGUCGAGCGAACAGACGAGGAGCUUGCUCCUCUGACGUUAGCGGCGGACGGGUGAGUAACACGUGGAUAACCUACCUAUAAGACUGGGAUAACUUCGGGAAACCGGAGCUAAUACCGGAUAAUAUAUUGAACCGCAUGGUUCAAUAGUGAAAGACGGUUUUGCUGUCACUUAUAGAUGGAUCCGCGCCGCAUUAGCUAGUUGGUAAGGUAACGGCUUACCAAGGCAACGAUGCGUAGCCGACCUGAGAGGGUGAUCGGCCACACUGGAACUGAGACACGGUCCAGACUCCUACGGGAGGCAGCAGUAGGGAAUCUUCCGCAAUGGGCGAAAGCCUGACGGAGCAACGCCGCGUGAGUGAUGAAGGUCUUCAGAUCGUAAAACUCUGUUAUUAGGGAAGAACAAAUGUGUAAGUAACUAUGCACGUCUUGACGGUACCUAAUCAGAAAGCCACGGCUAACUACGUG
This 496-nucleotide ribosomal RNA is filed under the name uncultured bacterium. RNAcentral's name for it is "partial 16S ribosomal RNA". It matches the Rfam family "Bacterial small subunit ribosomal RNA", at positions 29 to 507 of the family's 1533-position model. The record is from RNAcentral.